UGGGGAAUAUUGCACAAUGGAGGAAACUCUGAUGCAGCGACGCCGCGUGAGUGAAGAAGUAAUUCGUUAUGUAAAGCUCUAUCAGCAGGGAAGAUAGUGACGGUACCUGACUAAGAAGCACCGGCUAAAUACGUGCCAGCAGCCGCGGUAAAACGUAGGGUGCAAGCGUUGUCCGGAAUUACUGGGUGUAAAGGGAGCGCAGGCGGAUGGCUAAGUCUGAUGUGAAAGCCCGGGGCUCAACCCCGGGACUGCAUUGGAAACUGGUUAUCUUGAGUGUCGGAGAGGCAAAUGGAAUUCCUAGUGUAGCGGUGAAAUGCGUAGAUAUUAGGAAGAACACCAGUGGCGAAGGCGAUUUGCUGGACACUAACUGACGCUGAGGCGCGAAAGCGUGGGGAGCAAACAGGAUUAGAUACCCUGGUAGUCCACGCCGUAAACGAUGGAUACUAGGUGUGGGGGGUCUGACCCCCUCCGUGCCGCAGUUAACACAAUAAGUAUCCCACCUGGGGAGUACGAUCGCAAGGUUGAAACUCAAAGGAAUUGACGGGGGCCCGCACAAGCGGUGGAGUAUGUGGUUUAAUUCGAAGCAACGCGAAGAACCUUACCAGGUCUUGACAUCCCGAUGACCGGUGUAGAGAUACACCUUCUCUUCGGAGCAUCGGUGACAGGUGGUGCAUGGUUGUCGUCAGCUCGUGUCGUGAGAUGUUGGGUUAAGUCCCGCAACGAGCGCAACCCUUGUUGCUAGUUGCUACGCAAGAGCACUCUAGCGAUACUGCCGUUGACAAAACGGAGGAAGGUGGGGACGACGUCAAAUCAUCAUGCCCCUUAUGACCUGGGCCACACACGUACUACAAUGGCGGUUAACAGAGGGAAGCAAUACCGCGAGGUGGAGCAAAUCCCUAAAAGCCGUCCCAGUUCGGAUUGCAGGCUGCAACCCGCCUGCAUGAAGUCGGAAUCGCUAGUAAUCGCGGAUCAGCAUGCCGCGGUGAAUACGUUCCC
This 996-nucleotide ribosomal RNA is filed under the name uncultured bacterium. RNAcentral's name for it is "bacterial SSU rRNA". It matches the Rfam family "Bacterial small subunit ribosomal RNA", at positions 355 to 1375 of the family's 1533-position model. The record is from RNAcentral.